GUGGCAGAGGUAGAAAUAGCAGCUAUCAUAUCUUUGCGUGUCCAUGGUAGCUUUGUGAACCCUCAGCACCAAAUCAACUCCCUUUUCUUAGAAUUAGCAUUAAAUAAAUAAUAAGAUAAAUUAAGAUAAAAUCAAGAAAUAAACAACAUAAAUUAUAAUCAAAUCUAAACUUUAAAAAUGUACUAAAUAAAGAUAGAUAAAAACUACCAAAAUCUAGCAAAUCACAAUAAAAAAUCAUAAAAUUCUGAAUUAAAUAAAAAUAUGAAAGUUCAAUAAAAAUUAAUUAUUAUACUCUAUCAAUAAAUGUAAAAUAAAAUAAAAUAUUUCCCGGACUUAAAAUUAAAUAAAUAAUAAGAUAAAUUUAAGAAAUAAACAACCUAAAUCCUAAUCAAAUCUAAUAUUUAAAAUGGUACUAAAUAAAGAUAGAUAAAAACUACAAAAUCUAGAAAAUCAUAAUAAAAACUCAUAAAAUCCUGAAUUAAUUAAAUAUCCAAAAAAUCAAGAAAAAUUAAUUAAUAUACUCUAAAAAUAAAUCUAAAAUAAAAGAAAAUAUUUCCUGGAAUUAAAAUUAAAUAAAUAAUAAGAUAAAUUAAAAUAAAAUUAAGAAAUAAACAACCUAAAUCACAAUCAAAUAUAAUAUUAAAAAAGGUACUAAAUAAAAUAGAUAAAAACUAAAAAAAUCUAGCAAAUCACAAUAUAAACUCAUAAAAUCCUGAAUUAAUAAAAAAUCGAAAAAUUCAAUAAAAAUUAAUUAAUAUAUUCUAAAAAUAAAUUAAAAGACCAAAUCUUAUCUUUUAAAAUAAUAUGAAUCAAUUAUUUUAGAAUAUAUAAAAUUAAAACAUAUAUCAAUUGAAAAUUAUAUCUUCUAAAAUAAUAUCAAUUAAUUAGUUUAGAAUAUAUAAAAUUAAAACAUAUAUUAAUUGAAAAUUAUACCCUCUAACAAAUAGACACGUAUGAGAAUUAAUCUGGUGCUGACACGUCACUAUGAAAGUUCUUCUUUUCUAAUAUAUAUUGAUACCUAAGUAAUAUUAUAUUGUCUACAAGUCCUAUUAUGCAUUUGCAACUUUAAAGAAAAGUUUCUAGCAAGAAAUAUGACUAGCUUAUGCACUUUCAUGAAAAAUGUUUUUAAUAGGAUUUUUUUCCUGUGAAGAUGAUUUUUUACUUAUUGUUAUAUUUUUUUCUAAGGUAUCUCCACAGCUAACAGUUAUGAGACUAAUCCAUCGAGAUUCGAAGAUUACAGUGAGUGAGUAGAUCUAUCCCAACAAAUUAUUCUUCAUACGCACCGCUCAAAUAUCAACCAUAUACUAGAUUGCCAAUAUAUUAUAUUUCUGACACACUCCUUCACACAAGAGUUUACAUGACCUUGAAGUGUAGAUAUUACACUGAGACCUACUUACUUACCACAUUCUGAAAUUCAACCUUUAUAUUGUAAUAACGGGGCAGCAAAAAUUGAACUUUAAAUCACUUGAUCAUAAAGACUCUGAUACCAUAUUAUGAAUCAACCGAUUGUAAAAAAAAUUAAGUUAUUAUUAAAGGAUAUAUGAAUGAUUUAAUAUUUUUGAGUUGUUUUUUCCCUUUAAAAAAGUGAUGUGAUUUUAGAGUUUUCUAAAAAUGCCCAAAUAAAGAACCUCAACUCCAAAAAGAAGGUUAAGCAAAUUUGAAGAUGUUCAAAUGGUGACUUAUUGGAAGGGCAAUGUCGGUCAAAACAAGGCCACUGAGCGUCUCGAAGGCUCAAUAGACCUUUUCUGGUCAACACCCCCAACCCAAGAAGAAGCUUCCAUAGCAUUCUUUUUGUGCCGUGGCGACCCCAUUUAUUCUCCUCCAUUUUCCUUUCUCUCCAAGCACCACUCCUUCUCAUUUCCUCUAAACGUAAGGACCAUAAUCCCUCCAAGUUCGAGAAAUGUUGCGCUACCAUAUACUUGAUUCAACCCCCACUUUCCAAGACUCCCUCAAGGCACUCGAGGCUGACAUUCAACAUGCCAAUCUGCUGUGAGUUCUCUCCCUCUCUCUUGUAUUUUCUUGCUUUGACCUUAAUUGGGAAUACGGGUUCAUGGUGAACACAAUGUAAUUAGCAUUUUAAGGUAGUAAUAGUAUAGCUAGGAUUCAAUAUACAGGUUAUAGUGACCAAUGUGUGUAAGUAUUAUGUUUGUGUUUAGUGUAUAUUUGGUUUUACCAAGUAACCCCGGCUGACAGCCAUGAGACUAAUCCCAUCGAGGCUCUGAGAUCAAGUAAAUGAAUAGGCCUCUCCCAACAAAUUAUUCUCCAUACACAUUGUUGAGGGAUCGAACCCUUGACUAAAUGUUUAAGGAGUCCAGCUAUCUAUAACUGUGUUGGACCUUGUUUGUUGUGUUUAGUGUAUAUUAAAAGUGGAACAAAGUAUAACAGAUAACAUGGGAUAAGAUAAUACAAAAAAAGUAACACAUUUUUGGUUCCACUAAAGAGAAUAUACCAGAAGACUGUCAAAUGUUAGUGUGUAUUUAAAUCCUGUUUAUAGGUCACCUUUACAAUAUGAAUUUUCCAAAUAGUAGGUUGUUUUAAACUUUUUAUCCUUUUCCUCCUCUGCCAUUUGCAUUGCCCACUUUUUUUUAUCCUCUAACAGAUUAAGGAUAUAUAAUUUUCCUUUGUUACUUGUUUGAAACAUGUACCUAGCCUCAGUUAAAGUAAUUCCUCCAAGAUCAGAUGAUUCUACUAUCUUUACUUCUAGUUGAGUGCUUGUCGUUAUCUUUAUAAUUUCCCUUUCUUAUGGUAAAGCCUAGGGACCAGUAUCAUGCCUCUUACUCAUUUCUUACACCAACAAGGAAGAAUACUUCUGUAACCCUGUCACUCUAUGAUUGUUUAUUUAAUCCUUCCAAGUUAGUUUACUUGCAUAUAAUGGUCCUUGGAAUCAAAGGUAUAGCCUGAGAUUUGAGAUGCAUUUAUUAUUUCUUAUGAUGGUAAAAAUGCAUUGUUUCAGAUAUAAUAUAUUGGUUCAAAUUCGAAACUGUAUGCAGGGCUGCUUCUAUUUCAAGGGGCAAUGGAAGUGCUUGCCUUCAAAUGAAGUUAGUUUACAACAAAUUGGCACCCGUUUUUCUGUUUUUAUAUCAAUGGAUGGAUUUCUCAUGUUCAUGUCUACUUCCAAGCCACUUCAAUCUUUUCCGCGUAAUUGUGUAUAAGGUGUGUCUCUGCCUCUUAUUAUUUUCUAAUUGAAGUAUUAGCUUCGUCCUUUAAUUUCAUUAUUUUUAUUGAUCUCUCUGUUUUUUAUCUAUUAGAUUCACACCAAUGGGAAGCCAAAUACAUAUUCUUAUGGAAGGAAAGCAACCAUAAGGGAGUUCUAUGGUAAGUACUAGAAACCUUGCUUCCGCCUACAAUCUGCUAUGUUAUUGUACAGAAGGCUAUUUUGAUGCCUCAGAGCUUUUAAUAUAAUUCUAUUCAACUUUAUUCCCCUGCUUGACAUAGCUGGUGAUUUAAAUUCUUCAAAUAUUAUAUUGAUCAAAGGUGGCAAUUUGGAUUUUUUUUUUGUAAUCAAGGAGUAAGUUCAUCUAAUAGAGUUGUACUGUUUUUGCACUUAACUAGCCCGGAUUCAUUAAUCUACAAUUGAUUUGCAGGUGUUAUAUUACCUUCUCUUCAGCGUCUUCACGAUGAUUUAGUAGAUACUAACAUCAUGAAAGAAAAAGAUCGCAGCAUCGAGGUGGUUAUCGAUAGGAGUGCGGAUGAUAGGAGGAAGCCUUUUGAUUUGGACUCAGACAGAGAAAAUGAGUGUGGUAUCUGCUUAGAGUCUUGCACAAAAAUGGUCUUACCUAAUUGCUGCCAUGCUAUGUGUAAAAAUUGUUACAGUGACUGGUAAGAUCAUGCCCUCAGUUUUUCUUCUACUAUCAUGUAAAAACUAAAAACUAGUCAUUGGUAAUCUGAAAAUGGAAGAACGGAGUUAUCACUAACAGUUAAGAAAUCUGUUUGUCACAUUAUAUUACAGGAACACAAGGUCAGAAUCUUGUCCGUUUUGCCGGGGAAGUUUAAAGAGAGUUAACUCAGGUGAUUUGUGGGUUCUAACAAGCAGUAGUGAUGUGAUUGAUGCACAAACCGCGUACAGAGAAGAUAUUCUGUGCCUCUAUCUCUUUGUAAAUAACCUGCCAGAACAUAUUCCUGAUGCUCUUUUCUUUAUGUAUUAUGAGUACUUAUUUUAAUUGAAGAAUAUGUACAGGAGAGAAAAAUGACAGCCAACAGUGUACAGAAUCCUGUCAAUUUUCUUGAUUAUUUGUUUGUAUAUUACUCAGUGAUAACACUCUUGCAUAUAAUAUAUCACUUAUAGUGUUUAUCAAGAUAUCAUUAGAAAAUGAGGUGACUGUUUGCUUUUAACAGAAAUGUCAUAUGUAUAAACAACUUCCAUCCUUGCAUAGUCUUGGAGAGAAUGGAGAAAAUCCUCAUUACCCUAUACAUAUGUUAGGCUUCUAAAUUAUAGACUUAUAGUCAUAAUAUUAUUAGUGGCAUGGGCGUUUGGGUCUGGGUUGGAUGUUGUCAUUGGGUUCGGGUUUGGUUUUAUCUAUCUGUGUUAGUGUUAGUCCUGUUUGGCCGAGUCUGUUUUAUCAUUUGAGUUGUGCCUGUUUUGGGCCAGAGUUAAUUGAUUAGUAGGUUUAGAUUAGUAUAUUUAAGAGUACUCUCAUUGUUAACAAAAAAAAAAGCACUCUCAUUAUUAGCAUUUGAGUAUUGAGUUGUAAAAGGGUUUUACCCUUGGAAUGGAUUUUCCCUUGGAAGAAGGUUCGCCUUCUUGGGUUCGUUUUCAAUAAAUUCUAGUGUUAUUUUAGAAAUUACUAUUUUCCCCUAUCCUUACUGUGUUUGGCUGUGAGGUUAUUUUCUAACCUAACAACAUGCAACACUACUCCUCAUCUUUACCUCUAUGUCUAUCAUAUCAACCAUUGGAUUAAUAUCCUUUCGUGCUAGCUCUCUCAUGUUGAAAUUUUGUGUCUAUCUCUCUCUUCAUACCUAUUCAAUAGGUUAGACCCUUUAAAUAUAUAUAUGAAAGGAUAUCCUAUAUGAAGAGAGAAAUAAACACAAUUUUUUCUUGACAUUGCCAUGUGAUAUAUAUGCUCAUCUCUUCAUAUGUAUCACCUAUUGUGCUAGGAUAAUUUCUCAUAAUAAAGCAAGACAAUACACAUUUUAUCUUAUCUAAUUAUAUGAUGACGGUGGCGUGGCACCAACGAUGUAAGCUUUCCUGCAUGUACCCACCCAUUGCCAUUUGGGAUAGGUAGUUGUGACUUUUGAUGCUUAAGCUAUUACUUACAAUUGCUUGUUGAAAAACACAUGCCAUGUCUGAAGUAUUGAAUCAUGAGAUGUUACUGUAUCAGAGUGCGGUAUUUAAAUCAUCGCACUUAUUGCUUUAUUAAGUAUGAUUGACACUUAACAAGAAUGGCCGCACCUGUUUUGGCAACUGGCAGUUUAUCUUCAUAAUGAGAGUGAAGAAGAGGGAGGAUGUACCCAUUUAUUAGGACCACUGGCUCAGACUAGCAUUGAAUGUUUUCCAGUUUCUUUAUUGGUGUGAUUUACAGUUUGUGGUGCUCCUCUUGUCCUUUUUUUUUAGUUUUACUCCACAACAAGAAGCAUGUGCUAAUUAAUGUUGAUCACCUUCUGCAGACUGCAAAAACCAAGCAGACUGGGGACGAAAUAAAAUGGAAUUCUGGAGUACUAAGUAUGGCAUGAAUUCAAUAGGUAGUUCUAGAUGCUUCAUUGCUUAAUUCCUCUCUUCAGAUCCACCUUCCAAGAGGCAGAAGCAGAUCCUCUGUCCCCUUUCCAUGACUCAUUUUUCUGACCCAUCAAUGAGAGCUUGCCAUAAAAGAUGGGGUGGUUACAAAUUUACAUGUGUAUCCUUUUUGCUAAUAUAUUAAAAUUUCAUUAUUGUGACAGACAAAUGAGACAUAAUUUGGGGAUAAGAGAUUUUAAUCCCAAAAAGCUAACUUAAUUAGGAUGAAGUCAGGCGACCAAGUCUAUCUUAUGGUAUGAGACUAUCCCUCAUUGUUGUAGCAUGAGAGGAGACAUGAAUAUAUAUUUUUUAUACACCGAAUCUUUCACCCAGAAUCCUAAGACAUUAGGUCAUGUCACAUUGUUGUUCAACACUUACUUUUUCAUCCAAUGUGUGAUGACUUCUUUAUGUACUUUUUUAAUUUCUUACUCACUUAAAGUCUCAAGUGCGUAGCUGUAUACACGGCGGAAAAUAAUAGUGAGGUUAAAAUUAUGGGAGACAGUCACAACAACUAACAACUAAGACCCUUUACAAUGGUUUGUUUAAUUUACUUACUUUCAACACCAUUUUUUCUCUUCCCAACACUCCACAUCAACUUCUCUCUCCAAUUCAACACUCAUUCAACUUUUACCCACUCCAAUGGUUUUUCAUUCAACACCAACACCCUACCCCACCACAUUUUUAUUUCAUAUUUUUAUUUAAUUUUAUAUUUUUAUUUUUAUGACUUACAUAAAAUUACAAUUAUCGAUUUAAAUUAAAUUAAAACAAUAAACCCUUAACAAUUAAAUUUUUUUUUUUAAAUAUAGACAAUAAUUUAUUUUAUUUCCUUAACUUAUUUUAUUUUAUUGUUGGGAUCUAUUUCAAAACAAAGGCUAAUAGAAAGAUAAUAAAAAUAGUGAAAAUUUUGGUUUUUUUUCUGUAUCCAAAUCAAACGAACCAAGUUUCUAUUUAUAGAGAAAAAAAAUCAUGAAUUUUGGUUAAAAAAAAAUUUCCAGAAAUUUUUUUUGCAAUGAAAUAAUUGAGUUCAAAAAAUUAAGAUGAUAAAAAUCCGGACAACGAACCAGAACGCGCCACGUGGCACCCUUAUCCCCUCUCAACAUUGUUGAGAACUCUCAACACUUCUCUCCUCCACCUCAUCUUCAACAAACCUCAACCAACCACUACACACCCUCAACAAAAUUCAACCCCCUCUCAACAAACCAUUGUAUUUGGUAAGGGAAGUUGUAUCCAAAUAUGCACUAAAAAUAUAUGUUUAGGAUUCUUCAUUUUUCACCAAUCUGACUUUCUUUCUGAGAAUCUCUCUAGUUUAAGAUAUAGCUAUGGGAAUUGGGAAAUGAAACAAAUACAACGAGUUCUAGUAAAAAGAUAAAAUAUGAUUCUCUCACAAGUAGUUACGCUAGCAAACGCAUAAACGCCAUAAGAACAAGCAAACUCCUAACAUGAUUCUUCUUGGGUGAACCAUUCACCCCUGACUCUGUUUUCUUUCCAACAAAAAAUUAAAAGGAGGUUGGGUGAAGUUUCCUUGAAGAAACAUUUCAGAAACAGCCUUAUACAUGGCUUCUGUGAGAUGAACACCAUCCCAGUUAAUGUGUUGGGAAGGGCUUGUGCAAACCGUGGCAUUAGGCGUGCCGCAUGUGGCGAAAAUGCUGAAAUUGUAAGGUGGAUCUCCUGAUCCACAGCAGACUUCAAACACCUCUUUGAAUCCAUACUUGCUUGGAUUCUUCAUAACAGCGCGGUAGGCGUUCCAGUAAUCAGCAUAAACUAUGGUGGCAUUUGGGUACUGCUUCCUGAAUUCCUGUAAUUUGGCUUGCAGCACAAGGUUGUGAGUGUAGCUUUGGUUGUUGACACUUUUCACACAUCCAAUGUCAUCCCUGUCAUCUUCAGAAGCCAGAUACAUAGCCAGUGGCAAGCACCCAGUUAGUGGCAAACCCUGCACAACUAGGUAUUUUGCACCCUUCUGAAGCAAUGUCUGCAAGUCAAAGAAUGAAAACAGUGAAUGAAACUAUAUAAUUUAGGGUUAUCUACAUAGUUUGUCCUUAUAAUGCUUGAUUAUGGUCCCUGUCGUUUCAAUUACUCAAAUUAAGCCGCACUCUCAAAAUUGAGUAAAUUUUGUCCAGAUGUAUGUUAACUUAUCAUCCAAUAACUAACGGAGAAAAUGGAUAUGUAUUACAAAUUUUGAUGUGAAAAGUGACAUAAAUCGUCUUAAAAUGUCAUUCAUGUUAAGAAGUGGUGGUUCAUAUCAACUUAUUUCGUUAAUUAUUGGAUGGCAAGUUAACAUAUGGAUCAAAUUUGUUCUACAUUGAAAGUAGGAAGACUUAAUUUGAGCAAUUGAAUUUAUAGGGACUGAAAUCAUGCAUUCGUGAAACUAUAUGUACAAAAAAUGUAAUGUAACAAUAUAAUUCAUUCAUUUUACUCUUCAUGGAUUCACAUGGAGAUAAGAUAAUUCUAUGCUUUGAAGUUAUGUUUUUGAUUUUGAAUUUGAGUUUGAACUACUUUUUGUGUUGGCUAUAAAUAUUAUUUAUUACCUGUAAAGCUCCUGAGACUGUGCUUAUUGCAAGCUUCCUUAUGGUGUCACCUGAGACUGAAGAUCCAAGAGUGUAGGCAUAGUCAUUGACUCCAAUCUCACCAAACCAAAAAAGAGUGUCAUCAAAAUCUUUACACUUUGAUUCCACUCCUAUACACUUUUGGCUCUCUAGGUACCUGUUAAACCACAGCAUCUGUGUUUGGAUGCUCUGAGGAGUGAUGUCAAGGGAAAGGUUGUUCAUGACAAAGAACAUAUGGUUUAUUGCUGUGGAACCAGCAACAGCAAAGUUCACACCAAAAGUACUGUCAUUGCUUUUUUUGCUGUGACGGUAAGGUUGAAGGUACGGCAAGGAAAGUGAUUCUGUUACAAAGUCAAUCACAAGCCUUCCAUCACAGUACCUAUUGGUGGAAUGGUUGAAGAAAGUGGUGCCGUAGGGAGAGUUUGAUACAUGGCCAAAGCCGCUAGGACCUUCAGCGUUCUUGGUGUUGCCGGUGUCCGUGAAGGAGUCGCCGAAGGCGUAUAUCUUGUUGAAGGGUCUUGCUGCUGGGUCCUCCUGAUGCACAGUUGC
Molecule: long non-coding RNA, 8802 nt
Filed under: Lotus japonicus
Lineage: Eukaryota; Viridiplantae; Streptophyta; Magnoliopsida; Fabales; Fabaceae
Description: long non-coding RNA (LJAP_LNC001831)
Source: RNAcentral